Molecule: long non-coding RNA, 1468 nt
Organism: Cimex lectularius (bed bug)
Lineage: Eukaryota; Metazoa; Arthropoda; Insecta; Hemiptera; Cimicidae
Exons: 2
Source: RefSeq, a predicted model, not a curated record
UAUAUAUAUAAGUUAUCGGAUAUUAUCAGAUUGCAAUGCUAAGAUGCAGGUGGCAUUCUCAGAAUUGCAAUCAGCACUCUCUCCCACCAGGGAAACGUAAUUGUUUAUAAUUUAAAAUGUAAGAACAUUCCUUGCCUAGAAACCAGUGAAGUCACAUCAUUGUAAUUGGUAAACUUAAUUAUUCUUUGUCAACUGUAUUUCGCAAAUAAAGUUUUUAAAAAGGAAUCAACCAGCGAAGUUGACUUAAUUGGCGCAGUCGGUAGGACAGCACGGUCUUCAAGAGAACAUUGAACACCACCGUCUUAACGGUUAAAUUGCUGUCGGAACUUCAGGCUACAAGAAGAAGGAAAUACUGGAACGUCCAAGGAAAGAAAAGGAAAAGGACAUGGUAUACCUUGCUUCACUGAACACCUGCCGAUAAUCUCGUCGUGUUGGACGGAACACGCCCUCCUCGGCUCACGAGCUGUGAUUAAUAAGUUGAAGGACGGGCCGGUAGUGAAUUAUGAUAUUGGGGUCCUUGAAGAUCCAGGCUCAGGAUCAAAUACCGCAGCGAGUCAUGACUGCCGGGACCUUCUGGAAGAAUCGGCCGAUUUUUUAAUUUACAGUUGGAAAUUUCGUCCGGGGAGUCCUUUCUGGUUUCAACAGGACCGGGUCCGGCUGGCCGACAAACGAACAAGGACCAAUUGCACAACCGAAAAAGCCGGUCGCCUAUAUUUUCGUUUUAUAAAGUCGUCCGACGGUUAAAUGUCUUUUGGUCUUCUUGGAUAAACCGGAGAGAGUAUCGUUCAACUCGACCAACUCCCGACUUCCCGGCCGUCGGGACGUCGGCAAAACAACCCGCCCGUCUUAGCGUGUUUCGUUAUCGAUUGUUUACAAACAAGAGUAUGGGGUUGUAAUAAUUGGGGGAAAUGAGAUGGGAUGAGAAAAGGCGAUUGGAGGUAGUGGUGUGGAGGUGUAUUUUAUUGAAUGGAAACCCGUCACCGUGGAGAUGCUCUCUCGUUGGCAUGGGAACCCCGACACAAACGUUCCCUCUACGUCACGGCGUAGGAGGCGCCCUAUUUGGGCUUUCCUCGUUUUGACCCACUUACCUGACCCCUUCCCCUUUUAAUUCCACGAGCCUCUCCUAAUAAUAAACCCAUUGUUCAAACGGUCUGAGAUCUAUGAGUUCCCAACAGACGGAUAUAAAAAAAAUGGACUGCACAUGCAAAUUUACAUGAAGAACGGCAAGUCGACUAUUUUGUCCUAAACCAGAUGAACAGUGGAUUCCCCAAUCAAAAUCAAAUUAUAACACCGCAUAAAUUUUAUUUCACAUAACGAAUAGAAGACAACGAAUUCCGAGGUCAAGCCCAGAAACCAAGGACAAGACACAGAAAUCGUAAAAAAAAAAACUAAUAAAAUCUACCAAAUUGGCCAAUUCACUGUCUUAUUAGAUUGCAUCACAAAAAAUAAAAUAAAGUUAAAAUUCAAA